CCCGAAAGUAUCUCUUCCACUGUGCGCACGCACACACACACACACUGCACAUCUUCAGCCAAAGCCGAGCAGGAAAGAUCAGAUGCCAGGGGAGGGACUGCUGGCGGUGGGUAUAAGAAGCAGCAGGACUGGGAGCAGCCUGUAGUGACUGGGUGGCAGCGGGACGUGCUGGGAGGGGAAGAGGAGAGCAUCUGUCUGUCCAUCCACCUACCAGGCUCUGGAGAGAGAGGAGCCCACAGCACUACUCUGCUCUCACUCUCUUUGCACCUUCUCUUGCUGCUGCCCAAGAAAACCUGCAGAUCCCUGCCUGUGUGGCUGCUGACCUAAAAUGGCAGAAGGAGCAAAGGUGUUCAAGAAGACCAGCCCCAACAGCAAGCUAUCCAUCUACCUGGGGAAGAGAGACUUUGUGGAUCACGUGGAGUCAGUGGACCCCGUGGAUGGCGUCUGCCUGAUUGACCCGGAGUACCUAAAGGACAGAAAAGUGUACGUGUCGCUGACUUGUGCAUUUCGCUAUGGCCGAGAUGACCUCGACGUUAUCGGAUUGACCUUCAGGAAGGACCUCUAUGUCCUGACCACCCAGAUCUUCCCGCCGGUGCCAGACCAGGCACCCAAAACCCUCACUUCUUUGCAGGAGAAGCUGCUGAAGAAGCUAGGGGAGAAUGCUUACCCCUUCACCUUUGAGAUGGCCACCAACCUGCCCUGCUCAGUCACCCUCCAGCCAGGACCAGACGAUGUGGGAAAGGCCUGCGGUGUGGACUUUGAGGUCAAAGGAUUUUGUGCUGAAAAUCUGGAGGAGAAAAUUCACAAGAGGAACUCAGUGCGCCUCGUCAUCCGCAAGAUCCAGUUUGCACCCCUGAAGAUGGGGCCACCCCCGAAGUCGGAGACAACCCGGCAGUUCAUGAUGUCUGACAAGCCCCUGCACCUCGAAGCCUCCCUGGAUAAAGAGAUCUACUACCACGGAGACCCCAUCAACGUAACCGUCAACAUCAACAACACCACCAACAAGAUUGUGAAAAAAAUUAAGAUCUCAGUUAAUCAGAUCACAGAUGUGGUCCUCUAUUCGCUGGAUAAAUACAUGAAGACUGUGUGCACCGAGGAGAUAAACGAGAACGUGGCAGCCAACUCUACCUUCUCCAAAACAUACUCCGUCACCCCCACGCUCCUGGCCAACCGUGAGAAGCGAGGCCUCGCUCUCGAUGGCAAGCUCAAGCACGAGGACACCAACCUGGCCUCCAGCACCGUCCUGAGACCCGGCAUGGACAAGGACGUGCUGGGCAUCCUGGUGUCCUACAAAGUGAAGGUCAACCUGGUGGUGUCCCGAGGAGGCAUCCUGGGGGAUCUCACUUCCAGCGACGUUGGUGUUGAGCUGCCUGUUAUCCUGAUGCACCCGAAGCCUGUGGACGAUAAGCCAAGGCUGAACAGCCCCAACUCCAUAGCGGCAGAGGCAGCAGGAGUGUUGUCACAGGCUGGGAGGAUUCAAAUUCUGGGCUCGGCACAUGUUCUGCAACUUUCCAGGGCGUAUUUUACAGCUCCCCUUGCUGCAAAGGCAGCAGCCUCUCCUGUUGCAAGCCCAGACCUCGCCUUGUCCCUUGCAAGCAGCCGGCAGUGCUCCAUCUCACAGUCACAAGUGCCACUGCUGGACAUAACGUCCCCUACAGCCUUGGUCCCCAUCCGCCCCACGCUGAGGUCCCUUGACUGCUGGGAGCAGCACUGGUCACAGCCCCAUGCCCCCGCACGCUCCCCAGUGCCAGAGCCCUCUUCUCCUCCCACCACAUGAGCUUAUUCCAGCUGAAGCCACAGCUGGGGUUGCUUCCCUCUGGGAAGCCGCAGCGUGCCAAACCCAUUCCUGGCAACCAUGCCUGGCAGCCACGGCCAACCGGCCACGCAGCUGGCCCCGGCUUGCAAAGCCCCAAAAAGCUGUUUUUUGUCUGGUUACACCCUGCAACAGGACAUGAGCACUGGGAUUUGGAGCCUGGAAACUCCGGCUGCAACUGCAAGGCUUUCACCCCAAAGCCUAUCAGGUUCCCAGCUCAGUGAGGAUAUUUAAACUUGCAGAGGAGGAAAUCUCUUGGCCUGUCCUCACCAUCGCUCCCUGUAGAUUUUGCCAAGUCGUUUCACAUUCGCAAGCUUUUGGAAUCAGUUUUGCUGACUCUUUUUUUCCAUUUUCUUCCCCCCUCCUUUUCAUUUUGCGGCUCUCCCUUGGUGUCAUCUGCCGCUCGCCUUUCACAAGGAGCGAGGAGGACAUCAUCAUCGAGGAAUUCGCUCGCCAGAAACUCACGGGAGAGAAAGACGACGAAGACGAGGAGGCCAACAAAGAGGAAAGCUGACCCGCUGCCCGCUCGGCCACU
This is an RNA transcript of Tyto alba (common barn owl), 2348 nucleotides long. It is a transcript of the gene named arrestin 3, with no coding region annotated. Lineage: Eukaryota; Metazoa; Chordata; Aves; Strigiformes; Tytonidae. The record is from RefSeq and is a predicted model, not a curated record. The transcript has 19 exons.